Molecule: non-coding RNA, 137 nt
Organism: Peptoniphilus duerdenii ATCC BAA-1640
Lineage: Bacteria; Bacillati; Bacillota; Tissierellia; Tissierellales; Peptoniphilaceae
Source: Rfam
AUAGCGAAAUCGUGGCUUGACGAACAGAAACAGAAUAUAAGGCGUAACAGGUGGGCAAGCUAGCAACAGAUAGCAAAGACCCAAAAGGUAACCGUAAACCCAAAGCGUAAAUUCUGCAAGUAAACGAUGAAAGUAUU